GUGCUCGCUUCGGCAGCACAUGUACUAACAUGAAAAGGAUGCAGAGCAGACUAGCAUGGCCCCUGCACACGGAUGACAUGCAAAUUCAUGAAGCAUUCCAUAUAAAG
This is a small nuclear RNA of Pipistrellus kuhlii (Kuhl's pipistrelle), 107 nucleotides long. NCBI's taxonomy places the organism in Eukaryota, Metazoa, Chordata, Mammalia, Chiroptera, Vespertilionidae. The record is from RefSeq and is a predicted model, not a curated record.